CAGUCGCCGCGGUAAUACGAGGGGGGCAAGCGUUGUUCGGAAUUAUUGGGCGUAAAGCGUGCGCAGGCGGUCCGCUAAGACAGAUGUGAAAUCCCCGGGCUUAACCUGGGAACUGCAUUUGUGACUGGCGGGCUAGAGUAUGGCAGAGGGGGGUAGAAUUCCACGUGUAGCAGUGAAAUGCGUAGAGAUGUGGAGGAAUACCGAUGGCGAAGGCAGCCCCCUGGGCCAAUACUGACGCUCAUGCACGAAAGCGUGGGGAGCAAACAGGAUUAGAUACCCGGGUAGUCCCUGUCUCUUAUAC
RNAcentral lists this ribosomal RNA (301 nucleotides) under uncultured bacterium. Its description in RNAcentral is "partial 16S ribosomal RNA". It matches the Rfam family "Bacterial small subunit ribosomal RNA", at positions 509 to 807 of the family's 1533-position model. The record is from RNAcentral.